GUAGUCAUAUGCUUGUCUCAAAGAUUAAGCCAUGCAUGUCUAAGUAUAAGCAAUUUAUUCAGUGAAACUGCGAAUGGCUCAUUAAAUCAGUUAUCGUUUAUUUGAUAGUACCUUUACUACUUGGAUAACCGUGGUAAUUCUAGAGCUAAUACAUGCUAAAAAUCCCGACUGCUUGGGAGGGAUGUAUUUAUUAGAUAAAAAAUCAAUGCUCUUCGGAGCUCUAUGAUGAUUCAUAAUAACUUGUCGAAUCGCAUGGCCUUGUGCUGGCGAUGGUUCAUUCAAAUUUCUGCCCUAUCAACUUUCGUUGGUAAGAUAGUGGCCUACCAUGGUUUCAACGGGUAACGGGGAAU
This 350-nucleotide ribosomal RNA is filed under the name uncultured fungus. RNAcentral's name for it is "SSU rRNA". It matches the Rfam family "Eukaryotic small subunit ribosomal RNA", at positions 20 to 370 of the family's 1831-position model. Lineage: Eukaryota; Fungi. The record is from RNAcentral.